CAUGCAUAAUAUCUAUUACUAUCUUUACUGUAUUUUCUCUGCUUAAGUUUAUAGCAGCAGCUUACUGCUUUAGCUGUCAGUUUAGAGAAUGCUAUAUUUGGUCGUGGUCUGGUUGUCUCGUUAAGGUCAUCUUCACCUUAACUUCUUAUCAAGCUGUAGAAAUUUUUUGAUAUGUUAGCCCUUGAAUUUUACUUCCUAGAUGUUCAGUUACCUCUAUAAAGUUAAUAUCUAAGGUAACUCUUAAUAAAUCAAUGGUAUUUUUCAUCUAGGUUGGUUGCACCAAUAUCUCUGUACAAUUUCCGUAUUUUUUAACCUUUUCCUAUCUCAUGCAGUCGUUCAGAAGUUUGAUACAUGCACUACUUGAUAAUUUCUUAGGGGUUAGACUUUGUUCAAGGAAGUGAGGGUGAAAUUAUAUUUCUUUCUCAGCUUGAAUCAUGGUAGUCGGCUGUGGUAUUGGAGGAACUCCCUGUCGUAUCUAUCCAUUCCAAGAAUUCUUGGAUUUGUUAUUCUCGUUUUAAUGUAUACAAAAGAAUUUUUAACAUGUUGAUCUUAACUGAACUUGCUGUUUUUUUUUCUCCUAGAUUUUCUUUAUCAAAAUUGACUCGCUUUUGUGUAUAAAUUUUUUUUUCUGAUGUCUUGUUUGCUAGUAGAUAAAUAAUGCAGCUUUCUCUGAUUUCAUCGUAGUUUAUGCUGGAAUAUUUUGGUCUGUUUUUGGGAACCUGUGUACAAAUGUAUGCCUUUAGAAGCAUGUUCACGGAAUUAACAUCAAUAUUUUGUUUCACUUCCUGGAAGAACUUAAACUGCCAGGCUAUGCUUCACUCUGCAGACGUGAACCUUUUGGAUACCCAAUUUGAAUGAAAAUGAAAUCAGGAACCAUUUCUUCUGAAAACUUGCUUCUGAUUGCUAAAAUUAAGUACAGAAUUUUUACCAUGUUGGAAAUUGUUAUAGUCACCUUCAGAUGCUGCAUUUCUUCAGAUAUCAUCCAGAUAAGCUACAGCAGGGACUGUUCUUCCUUGAAAUGUCACUCUAAGACUUGUUUCAAGUAUCCCAAUGGAACCACGCAAGUAGCAACCCCAUAAUUGCUGGGAAGAUAAA
Long non-coding RNA from Populus nigra (black poplar), 1095 nucleotides. RefSeq lists it as uncharacterized. The transcript has 2 exons. The record is from RefSeq and is a predicted model, not a curated record. NCBI's taxonomy places the organism in Eukaryota, Viridiplantae, Streptophyta, Magnoliopsida, Malpighiales, Salicaceae.